AGAAGUGGCAGGAUUGAUGUUGGGUGACUUCUGAGAUAUCUAAAAAGGCAACUCAGUUACUUGCCUGAAUAUUUCUCUUGAGACUCCAGCCUUGGGAGCCCUGAUAUUUUUCUUGUCCCUGUAGGAUGCCUCUUCUAGGAUAUCAUAUGAUGAUUCCAGUGUGUAGUGGUGGUGUUUGGCUUUUACUUAGUGCAUUGCUGUAGAGAAGCAUCCACACUGCUGUGUGCGUCAGGAGUUUGGUCCUUUUCACAUGUAUGCCCACCACUGUGCUACACUGUGACAGACGCUUCUGCCCACCCUGAGUGGAGUGUUGGCCUGAGAGGCUAAUCACUCACGAAGCAGGUAACAUCUGGGCGCUAUUUGCUGUCUUCUGCCUCAGGAGCAGGAAGGUGUCACAAAAACUCCUGAGAGGAGGGAAGCCGUAAUAGAUGAGACUUUCACAACCCUCCUCCCCCAGGAAAGUGGGGUCAGGGUGUGAAGGCAGCCUCAGGGUGGUCCUCAGGCAGAACAGAGCUUGGGACUAUGAGGUCCAUGCCCCCUCAGCACAGAGGCGAGGAAGAAGGAGGAGAUGGUUGGCUGCAGCAACCGUGGACUGGUGACCACCAUUCCCACCACCCUAAUCAUACUCUUGUGAUAUUAAUAAAAAUAAUUUAUGUCAUGUGA
Molecule: long non-coding RNA, 663 nt
Organism: Chinchilla lanigera (long-tailed chinchilla)
Lineage: Eukaryota; Metazoa; Chordata; Mammalia; Rodentia; Chinchillidae
Exons: 3
Source: RefSeq, a predicted model, not a curated record